GGGUUGUGAGGUUAAGCGACUAAGCGUACACGGUGGAUGCCCUGGCAGUCAGAGGCGAUGAAGGACGUGCUAAUCUGCGAAAAGCGUCGGUAAGGUGAUAUGAACCGUUAUAACCGGCGAUGUCCGAAUGGGGAAACCCAGUGCAAUUCGUUGCACUAUCGUUAACUGAAUACAUAGGUUAACGAGGCGAACCGGGGGAACUGAAACAUCUAAGUACCCCGAGGAAAAGAAAUCAACCGAGAUUCCCCCAGUAGCGGCGAGCGAACGGGGAGCAGCCCAGAGUCUGAAUCAGCUUGUGUGUUAGUGGAACGGUCUGGAAAGUCCGACGGUACAGGGUGAUAGUCCCGUACACCAAAAUGCACAGGCUGUGAACUCGAAGAGUAGGGCGGGACACGUGGUAUCCUGUCUGAAUAUGGGGGGACCAUCCUCCAAGGCUAAAUACUCCUGACUGACCGAUAGUGAACCAGUACCGUGAGGGAAAGGCGAAAAGAACCCCGGCGAGGGGAGUGAAAAAGAACCUGAAACCGUGUACGUACAAGCAGUGGGAGCACCUUCGGGUGUGACUGCGUACCUUUUGUAUAAUGGGUCAGCGACUUAUAUUCUGUAGCAAGGUUAACCGUAUAGGGGAGCCGCAGGGAAACCGAGUCUUAACUGGGCGUUAAGUUGCAGGGUAUAGACCCGAAACCCGGUGAUCUAGCCAUGGGCAGGUUGAAGGUUGGGUAACACUAACUGGAGGACCGAACCGACUAAUGUUGAAAAAUUAGCGGAUGACUUGUGGCUGGGGGUGAAAGGCCAAUCAAACCGGGAGAUAGCUGGUUCUCCCCGAAAGCUAUUUAGGUAGCGCCUCGUGAACUCAUCUUCGGGGGUAGAGCACUGUUUCGGCUAGGGGGUCAUCCCGACUUACCAACCCGAUGCAAACUACGAAUACCGAAGAAUGUUAUCACGGGAGACACACGGCGGGUGCUAACGUCCGUCGUGAAGAGGGAAACAACCCAGACCGCCAGCUAAGGUCCCAAAGUCAUGGUUAAGUGGGAAACGAUGUGGGAAGGCACAGACAGCCAGGAUGUUGGCUUAGAAGCAGCCAUCAUUUAAAGAAAGCGUAAUAGCUCACUGGUCGAGUCGGCCUGCGCGGAAGAUGUAACGGGGCUAAACCAUGCACCGAAGCUGCGGCAGCGACACUAUGUGUUGUUGGGUAGGGGAGCGUUCUGUAAGCCUGCGAAGGUGACCUGUGAGGGUUGCUGGAGGUAUCAGAAGUGCGAAUGCUGACAUAAGUAACGAUAAAGCGGGUGAAAAGCCCGCUCGCCGGAAGACCAAGGGUUCCUGUCCAACGUUAAUCGGGGCAGGGUGAGUCGACCCCUAAGGCGAGGCCGAAAGGCGUAGUCGAUGGGAAACAGGUUAAUAUUCCUGUACUUGGUGUUACUGCGAAGGGGGGACGGAGAAGGCUAUGUUAGCCGGGCGACGGUUGUCCCGGUUUAAGCAUGUAGGCUGGUUGUCCAGGCAAAUCCGGAUAAUCAAGGCUGAGGUGUGAUGACGAGGUACUACGGUGCUGAAGUAACAAAUGCCCUGCUUCCAGGAAAAGCCUCUAAGCAUCAGGUAACAUCAAAUCGUACCCCAAACCGACACAGGUGGUCAGGUAGAGAAUACCAAGGCGCUUGAGAGAACUCGGGUGAAGGAACUAGGCAAAAUGGUGCCGUAACUUCGGGAGAAGGCACGCUGGUGUGUAGGUGAAGUCCCUGCGGAUGGAGCUGAGACCAGUCGAAGAUACCAGCUGGCUGCAACUGUUUAUUAAAAACACAGCACUGUGCAAACACGAAAGUGGACGUAUACGGUGUGACGCCUGCCCGGUGCCGGAAGGUUAAUUGAUGGGGUUAUCCGUAAGGAGAAGCUCUUGAUCGAAGCCCCGGUAAACGGCGGCCGUAACUAUAACGGUCCUAAGGUAGCGAAAUUCCUUGUCGGGUAAGUUCCGACCUGCACGAAUGGCGUAAUGAUGGCCAGGCUGUCUCCACCCGAGACUCAGUGAAAUUGAACUCGCUGUGAAGAUGCAGUGUACCCGCGGCAAGACGGAAAGACCCCGUGAACCUUUACUAUAGCUUGACACUGAACAUUGAGCCUUGAUGUGUAGGAUAGGUGGGAGGCUUUGAAGCGUGGACGCCAGUCUGCGUGGAGCCAACCUUGAAAUACCACCCUUUAAUGUUUGAUGUUCUAACGUUGGCCCCUGACCGGGGUUGCGGACAGUGUCUGGUGGGUAGUUUGACUGGGGCGGUCUCCUCCCAAAGCGUAACGGAGGAGCACGAAGGUUAGCUAAUCCUGGUCGGACAUCAGGAGGUUAGUGCAAUGGCAUAAGCUAGCUUGACUGCGAGCGUGACGGCGCGAGCAGGUGCGAAAGCAGGUCAUAGUGAUCCGGUGGUUCUGAAUGGAAGGGCCAUCGCUCAACGGAUAAAAGGUACUCCGGGGAUAACAGGCUGAUACCGCCCAAGAGUUCAUAUCGACGGCGGUGUUUGGCACCUCGAUGUCGGCUCAUCACAUCCUGGGGCUGAAGUAGGUCCCAAGGGUAUGGCUGUUCGCCAUUUAAAGUGGUACGCGAGCUGGGUUUAGAACGUCGUGAGACAGUUCGGUCCCUAUCUGCCGUGGGCGCUGGAGAAUUGAGGGGGGCUGCUCCUAGUACGAGAGGACCGGAGUGGACGCAUCACUGGUGUUCGGGUUGUCAUGCCAAUGGCACUGCCCGGUAGCUAAAUGCGGAAGAGAUAAGUGCUGAAAGCAUCUAAGCACGAAACUUGCCCCGAGAUGAGUUCUCCCUGAGACUUUAAGUCUCCUGAAGGAACGUUAAAGACGAUGACGUUGAUAGGCCGGGUGUGUAAGCGCAGCGAUGCGUUGAGCUAACCGGUACUAAUGAACCGUGAGGCUUAACCUUACAACGCCGAAG
Molecule: ribosomal RNA, 2923 nt
Filed under: Klebsiella pneumoniae
Lineage: Bacteria; Pseudomonadati; Pseudomonadota; Gammaproteobacteria; Enterobacterales; Enterobacteriaceae
Also listed under: 1 other name
Description: bacterial LSU rRNA
Rfam family: Bacterial large subunit ribosomal RNA
Source: RNAcentral